Long non-coding RNA from Mastomys coucha (southern multimammate mouse), 907 nucleotides. RefSeq lists it as uncharacterized. The record is from RefSeq and is a predicted model, not a curated record. Lineage: Eukaryota; Metazoa; Chordata; Mammalia; Rodentia; Muridae. The transcript has 3 exons.
GGCGACUCUCCCGGAAGCACCUGUACACCCGCUUGGAGCUGGGCAGUGGAGGUGACCAGGCACACUAGUCAUUGACACCCUGUUAAGAAGAAAAGGCUCGGCUCAGCAUCUUUGGAAGGCAGCUCUGUCUGAAUUCCUCACCCAGACCUAUGUGGAGUGAAGCUCCGGUGGCCCCCAUCAUAGCAGAGUGCAGAGGUCUUUCAAAGCACAGGCAUCCUGACCCUUUAGUUGGCAGAGGAAAGAGACUCCCAGCAAUCAACCCCUGGUAUAGUUGUGCUGAGCACACAGAGGUGGUGGAGCCGAGCAAGGUAACUCUACCACACACUUACCGCUUAACCUUGAAGUUGGUACCAGGGCACAGGCCUGUUGCCAACUCGUGAAGAAUGCUUUCUCAAUCCGCAUCCCACUCUGAGGUCAAAGCCAUCACAGGUACUUUUGGCCAGCAAAUGCUUGUAAUCUCAGAAGCAAACAGGACUGCCAAGUUCACGUUGCCAUGACUCUGAACAUGGUACACCAUUUUCCACUCCAAGUCAGAGCCUGCAACUCUCUGGCUAUUCAGCCAAGAGCUCUGUUGGUACCAUUCUGACUCACACACACUGGCUAUGGUCGUGGAGCAGGUGAAGGACUUAAGUGUCACUAAGUUGGUUUCCAGUUGCUUCCAGGAAAAAAAAAAAAGAUCAUUGGCACACAAAAUUCUUGCUCCUAACACGUGACGCUUCCCUCCUGUGUUCACAAGCCGUGGAAAGAGAGAUCUCGGCUUUGGUUGCAGUGUCUAUACUUUUAGGGGGUCCAACAUAACAGAAAGCUAGAGACCCUAGGGACUUAGACACUGUGGGGGUGGAGCAUACAACCAAACCAAACCAAACCAAACCAAACCAAACCAAGCCAAACAAGCAAAACACUCUCU